Molecule: ribosomal RNA, 434 nt
Filed under: uncultured Lachnospiraceae bacterium
Lineage: Bacteria; Bacillati; Bacillota; Clostridia; Lachnospirales; Lachnospiraceae
Description: partial 16S ribosomal RNA
Rfam family: Bacterial small subunit ribosomal RNA
Source: RNAcentral
ACGGGAGGCAGCAGUGGGGGAUAUUGCACAAUGGGGGAAACCCUGAUGCGGCGACGCCGCGUGAGUGAAGAAGUAUUUCGGUAUGUAAAGCUCUUUAAGCUGGAAAGAUAAUGACGGUACCAGCAGAAUAAGCCCCGGCUAACUACGUGCCAGCAGCCGCGGUAAUACGUAGGGGGCAAGCGUUAUCCGGAUUUACUGGGUGUAAAGGGAGCGUAGACGGUAAAGCAAGUCUGAAGUGAAAUCAUAGGGCUCAACCCUGUAAUUGCUUUGGAAACUGUUUAACUAGAGUACCGGAGGGGCAGGCGGAAUUCCUGUUGUAGCGGUGAAAUGCGUAGAUAUUAGGAGGAACACCAGUGGCGAAGGCGGCUUACUGGACUGUAACUGACGUUGAGGCUCGAAAGCGUGGGGAGCAAACAGGAUUAGAUACCCUGGUA